AACGAACGCUGGCGGCAUGCCUAACACAUGCAAGUCGAACGAGACCUUCGGGUCUAGCGGCGCACGGGUGCGUAACGCGUGGGAACCUGCCCUUAGGCUCGGAAUAACUCCCCGAAAGGGGUGCUAAUACCGGAUAAUGUCUUCGGACCAAAGAUUUAUCGCCUUUGGAUGGGCCCGCGUUGGAUUAGCUAGUUGGUAGGGUAAAAGCCUACCAAGGCGACGAUCCAUAGCUGGUCUGAGAGGAUGAUCAGCCACACUGGGACUGAGACACGGCCCAGACUCCUACGGGAGGGAGCAGUGGGGAAUAUUGGACAAUGGGCGGAAGCCUGAUCCAGCAAUGCCGCGUGAGUGAUGAAGGCCUUAGGGUUGUAAAGCUCUUUUACCCGGGAUGAUAAUGACAGUACCGGGAGAAUAAGCUCCGGCUAACUCCGUG
Molecule: ribosomal RNA, 433 nt
Filed under: uncultured bacterium
Lineage: Bacteria
Description: partial 16S ribosomal RNA
Rfam family: Bacterial small subunit ribosomal RNA
Source: RNAcentral